Corvus hawaiiensis (hawaiian crow) is the source of this 1929-nucleotide long non-coding RNA. RefSeq lists it as uncharacterized. Lineage: Eukaryota; Metazoa; Chordata; Aves; Passeriformes; Corvidae. The transcript has 4 exons. The record is from RefSeq and is a predicted model, not a curated record.
GCUGUGCUUAGUCAUGAGUCAGCCCAAUAUGAUCAGAAGAGUUUACUUUGAAAUGAUGUCUCUUUGCAGCCGCUAUGAGAAUGGAGACUACAAGUAAUAUUAGCAAUUUGCUAGCAGACAUGGCUCUAUGGGAUAUGGUAAUGCCAUAUCUGGCUGUUCAGCUAGGCUAGGCAUUUCCUGGUUGCACCACCGUCACCUGUUUCUGGGGAACCUAUAACCUUGGCUGACCAGCAUUUGUAAUUUAUUCUGCUGUUUCCCUCGAGGGUGCUACAAACAUGCAGACCAGCUUACUUUCACCUCUUGAGCAAGUGAGAGACAUAGGAAGAAAAAGCUUCCUCAAGAUAAGAGCAGGAGCCUAUGUUGUACGUGCACUCAGUGGAUCAAAACAUGAAGCUUUGCUGGCAGCAUUUCCUUCUCCAUCCACAUCGCUGGUAUCAUCUGCCUGAUAUUUCCAAGACAGGUGACAGAGGCCCUCUGCAAGCAAAAAAGAAGCACUGAUUGCUUCAGUCUCUCCCAUUGAGCAGUCACAUUUUGGCUCAGAUUCCUUUUCCUUCCUUAAGACACUGUUGUUUUCGCAGGUUUCUUUUAGUUUGCAUUGUACGUUGUUCAGUGUAAGUCUUCUCCAUAUAUAUACUUCCAUCCCUCUUUCUCUCUCUUCCACCUCUAGACUGCACUGUCAAUACAAAACAAUAUAAAUCGACCUACCAGUCAAAAUACACAUUCCCAUCUUUUGGUGAAGCAGAGGAUGAUCCAUGUUUUUUCAAGCUUUACAAUUAUGGCAAAGCUAUUUUGCAUAGUGUGUUCAGCAUGCUAUUUCCACAGGUAACUGCACAGAUUUUCUGCUUUACCAUGCAACCAAAUAAAAACAUUGUAAGUACCCCAAAAACAGAGGACAUUUAUGGAAGUUUGAAGUAGAAUCAUACCAACUGUAUCAGUGUUGGUUUGCCUGCAGAGAGAAAUGUUUGAGCAGUGAUUAGAGCUAUUCUUAGUGCUAGCUCUUAUUCAAGCUUGCAGUCAAUCAGGUAGAGCUGGGUAAGCACCAGGAACAAGUUCCAGCAGAUAACACAGAAACCAGUGGCCACUCUCAGUGUUCCCAGUAGCGCUACUGUUUACUUCAUGGCAAAAGAAACAGGGCUGAGUGACAGCUGUCGUUAAACUAUUUCCUGACAGUGUGCAGGAUAAACUUAUUUGGAAACAAACAUUUUUUAAUCCCUGGCUAAGAAAACUUGACAUCUAACCCUGAACAUGAUAUGAUUUCUGCAGCAGGUUUUCCUACACGUGUUUCAGCCAGACCUGUUACUGCACAUAUGGUUGAAAAUAGAUUCUGGUGGUCUGGAUCUGUUUCUCCUUCUUUUUUAUUUUUCCCUGGUUUGCUUGUGCCCUCCUCCCCUCUCCCUGUCCACCCCUUGCCUCCAGAGAAGUGUUGUAAACUUACGCAUGGAGACAAUGGGGUAUAUCUAUCUAUCUAUCUAUCUAUCUAUCUAUCUAUCUAUCUAUCUAUAUCUCAGUAUAUUCCAUUUUAUUCUGGCACUUCUUUUCUGAUCCUCAGGGAAAUUCUCUGUGUGAAGUCACCAGCCUGAACCUGAGAGAUGGUAUAUUUUUUGGCACUGACCUGGAAGCACCAGGAAGUCUGAGAAAAAAAUUCCUCCUCACUGCCUUCCAUGUCUAAAACUUUCAUUUUCACAGCAUGACAUCAGGACCGUUGUAAGAUUUCACUAUGUGGAUGAAAUAAUUUCAUUUUUCUUCCCCUCUGGGAGCUGGGCUAAAAUACCAAACCAAAUAAACAGCUACCUGUAGAAAAUAGGGAAAAUGCUUCCCUUUACAACAGCCUGUUCACACAGCUUUUAGUGCAUAAACCUGUAACAGAUAGGAGGUUUUGUUUCAGAUACACAUUAUUGCACCAGUAAUGUAUGAAAAUUUCUUAGUCUA